GACGAACGCUGGCGGCGUGCUUAACACAUGCAAGUCGAGCGGUAAGGCCCUUUCGGGGGUACACGAGCGGCGAACGGGUGAGUAACACGUGGGUGACCCUGCCCUCAGCUCUGGGAUAAGCCUGGGAAAACCGGGUCUAAUACCGGAUAUGACUCCAUGACGCAUGUUGUGGGGUGGAAAGCCUUGUGCGGCUGAGGAUGGGCCCGCGGCCUAUCAGCUUGUUGGUGGGGUGAUGGCCUACCAAGGCGACGACGGGUAGCCGGCCUGAGAGGGCGACCGGCCACACUGGGACUGAGACACGGCCCAGACUCCUACGGGAGGCAGCAGUGGGGAAUCUUGCGCAAUGGGCGAAAGCCUGACGCAGCGACGCCGCGUGAGGGAUGACGGCCU
RNAcentral lists this ribosomal RNA (390 nucleotides) under uncultured bacterium. RNAcentral's name for it is "bacterial SSU rRNA". It matches the Rfam family "Bacterial small subunit ribosomal RNA", at positions 28 to 417 of the family's 1533-position model. The record is from RNAcentral.